GAGUUUGAUCGUGGCUCAGAUUGAACGCUGGCGGCAGGCCUAACACAUGCAAGUCGAGCGGUAGAGAGAAGCUUGCUUCUCUUGAGAGCGGCGGACGGGUGAGUAAUGCCUAGGAAUCUGCCUGGUAGUGGGGGAUAACGCUCGGAAACGGACGCUAAUACCGCAUACGUCCUACGGGAGAAAGCAGGGGACCUUCGGGCCUUGCGCUAUCAGAUGAGCCUAGGUCGGAUUAGCUAGUUGGUGAGGUAAUGGCUCACCAAGGCGACGAUCCGUAACUGGUCUGAGAGGAUGAUCAGUCACACUGGAACUGAGACACGGUCCAGACUCCUACGGGAGGCAGCAGUGGGGAAUAUUGGACAAUGGGCGAAAGCCUGAUCCAGCCAUGCCGCGUGUGUGGAGAAGGUCUUCGGAUUGUAAAGCACUUUAAGUUGGGAGGAAGGGCAGUAAAUUAAUACUUUGCUGUUUUGACGUUACCGACAGAAUAAGCACCGGCUAACUCUGUGCCAGCCGCCG
This 513-nucleotide ribosomal RNA is filed under the name uncultured bacterium. Its description in RNAcentral is "bacterial SSU rRNA". It matches the Rfam family "Bacterial small subunit ribosomal RNA", at positions 9 to 517 of the family's 1533-position model. The record is from RNAcentral.